Molecule: RNA transcript, 1293 nt
Organism: Pistacia vera
Lineage: Eukaryota; Viridiplantae; Streptophyta; Magnoliopsida; Sapindales; Anacardiaceae
Gene name: calmodulin-binding transcription activator 2-like
Exons: 6
Source: RefSeq, a predicted model, not a curated record
GUGAUUUAGGGUUUAGGGUUUACUCCAUUUUACCCUAACACCUAAUUUUCAUAUUUGCUGCUGCCGAGUGCCGACUGUGAAGAAACAACAAACCUGAGAAAAAAAUCCAGUUCAACUGUGAAGAAACAUAAACAUCUCAUGGCUUCACGUAUUCGCUUCUCUUUAAAUCAUCUUCUCCACUCUUCUUCACUUUUCAUUCCUUCUUUUAAAUCAAACCCAUUUACACUUUCAAAAAUUUCAAAACUUUCUCCUUCUCAUUCUUCUUUCUCAACAUUGAACAGUACUUGUCAAAUCAAGCUCGAGCAUCUACCAGGAGAUUCUGCUGAAGGUCUUGAAGAAUUACGGAAAGAAGCGCAACACCGCUGGUUAAUACAGCUGAAAUUCAUGAUAUGUUUACCAAGUAGUGGCAUGAUAUGGUUAUCACUGAACGACAAGAAAGGCCUCCAAGUGGUUCAUUCUUUGCAAUAAAGAAGCACAUGAUGAGAGACUUUAAAAAAGUGGCCAUAACUGGACUAAGAAAAAGGAUGGAAAGCUUGUGCAGGCAUCGUAUGAGAGGCUCAAAGUUGGAAAUGUUGAGAUGUUGCAGUGCGUCUAUGUCCAUGGACAAGAUAAUGGCAAUUUUCAAAGACGCAUUUAUUGGAUGCUUGACCAGGAACCUUUAGACAUCGCUCUUUUCUCACUACCUUGAAGUAAAGAGAAAUUGGACAAGAUGUGAACGAGAGAAAAAGGACCUAUCGGAUGUCUUUAAUAGAUCUCAUGUGAUUUUCCGACCGACUAUGGAGUGGCAGGUAAAAAAUUAAUGAUAGAGCUUGUAUGCUUAUUGUUUUAUCUCUAAUUCAAUCCAUUAAAAGUUUUAUUCUAUAAGAUUUAUGGGAUUAUGUUUUUGGAAUUAAAUCCUGGACUUCCCAUUGCUGGUGAUAAGAUCAUACUUUUGAACGAAAAUUUACCAGCUAUAACAUAUUAACUAUACUUCCUUUCUUAAGUAAAUUUUCUAAAAAGUUUAUUUUCCAACUGACUGUUACAUUCACUUAAUUUUGUAAAACGAUCUUUAAGUACAAAAUCUUGCAACUAAUUUUGGAGACGAUCCAAGUGACAAACUAUAAUAUUUUUAAAGCAGUUAAUAUGCAUAAUUAGAUUAUACGACAAAUGCCACCUGUUAGUUUUUUUUUGAUUUUUUGUUGUUGUAGGAGAAAAGAUAAAAUAAGGGUCUAUUGGUGAUUAAUCAUGGUACUAAUAAUAAUGGUAUAACUAUUUUAUCCCGAAACCAUGAGGGUGUAAUUGUUUCAUUCUGAA